Molecule: ribosomal RNA, 887 nt
Filed under: uncultured bacterium
Lineage: Bacteria
Description: bacterial SSU rRNA
Rfam family: Bacterial small subunit ribosomal RNA
Source: RNAcentral
AGCCGCCGCGGUAAUUCGAAGGGACCUAGCGUAGUUCGGAAUUACUGGGCUUAAAGAGCACGUAGGUGGUUAGAAAAGUUGGUGGUGAAAUCCCAAGGCUUAACCUUGGAACUGCCGCCAAAACUUUUUGACUAGAGUAUGAUAGAGGUAAGCGGAAUUUCUAGUGUAGAGGUGAAAUUCGUAGAUAUUAGAAAGAACACCAAUUGCGAAGGCAGCUUUCUGGAUCAUUACUGACACUGAGGUGCGAAAGCAUGGGUAGCGAAGAGGAUUAGAUACCCUCGUAGUCCAUGCUGUAAACGAUGUGUGCUAGACGUUGGAAAUUUAUUUUUCAGUGUCGCAGCAAAAGCGUUAAGCACACCGCCUGGGGAGUACGACCGCAAGGUUAAAACUCAAAUGAAUUGACGGGGACCCGCACAAGCAGUGGAGCAUGUGGUUUAAUUCGAAGAUACGCGCAGAACCUUACCAACUCUUGACAUGUUCGUCGCGAACCUAAGAGAUUAGGUUCUUCAGUUUGGCUGGACGAAACACAGGUGCUGCAUGGCUGUCGUCAGCUCGUGUCGUGAGAUGUUGGGUUAAGUCCCGCAACGAGCGCAACCCUCACUUUUAGUUGCUACCAUUAAGUUGGGCACUCUAAAAGAACUGCCGGUGAUAAGCUGGAGGAAGGUGGGGAUGACGUCAAGUCCUCAUGGCCCUUACGAGUUGGGCUACACACGUGCUACAAUGGUACUUACAAUGAGAUGCGAAGAGGCAACUCUAAGCCAAUCCCAAAAAUGUACCUCAGUUCGGAUUGCACUCUGCAACUCGAGUGCAUGAAGCUGGAAUUGCUAGUAAUCGCGGAUCAGCGCGCCGCGGUGAAUACGUUCCCGGGUCUUGCACACACCGCCCGU